AAAACAACGCUAGAAAAGGAAGUAGUAAGAAGCUGGAAGUUUUAGAGAGCACAUGGGUGGUGGAAAUGUGUACGGAUGCUUUUGAACUCGCCUUUGAGUUGCUCGUGCCGAAAAAAUAGUAAGUGUGAGCGGUGACGACCGUUACAACGUUUGAGGCCUUUUUUAAAAAGGCAAAGUUAGGUGGUACCACGUAGAUUACGUCCUAUAA
Molecule: non-coding RNA, 208 nt
Filed under: Enterococcus ratti
Lineage: Bacteria; Bacillati; Bacillota; Bacilli; Lactobacillales; Enterococcaceae
Description: T-box sequence
Rfam family: T-box leader
About the family: Uncharged tRNA acts as the effector for transcription antitermination of genes in the T-box leader family.
Source: RNAcentral